UAGGGAAUCUUCGGCAAUGGACGAAAGUCUGACCGAGCAACGCCGCGUGCGUGAAGAAGGUUUUCGGAUCGUAAAACUCUGUUGUUAGAGAAGAACAAGGACGUUAGUAACUGAACGUCCCCUGACGGUAUCUAACCAGAAAGCCACGGCUAACUACGUGCCAGCAGCCGCGGUAAUACGUAGGUGGCAAGCGUUGUCCGGAUUUAUUGGGCGUAAGGCGAGCGCAGGCGGUUUCUUAAGUCUGAUUUGAAAGCCCCCGGCUCAACCGGGGAGGGUCAUUGGAAAGUGGGAGACUGGGGGGCAGAAGAGGACAGUGGAAUUGCAUGUGUAGAGGUGAAAUGCAUAGAUAUAGGGAGGAACACCAGUGGCGAAGUCGGCUCACUAAUCUGAAACUGACGCUGAGGCUCGAAGGCGUGGGGGGUAAACAAG
RNAcentral lists this ribosomal RNA (429 nucleotides) under Gemmatimonadota bacterium. RNAcentral describes it as "Gemmatimonadetes bacterium partial 16S ribosomal RNA". It matches the Rfam family "Bacterial small subunit ribosomal RNA", at positions 355 to 776 of the family's 1533-position model. The record is from RNAcentral. Lineage: Bacteria; Pseudomonadati; Gemmatimonadota.